Molecule: ribosomal RNA, 578 nt
Filed under: uncultured bacterium
Lineage: Bacteria
Description: bacterial SSU rRNA
Rfam family: Bacterial small subunit ribosomal RNA
Source: RNAcentral
GGGGCCCGCACAAGCGGAGGAACAUGUGGUUUAAUUCGAUGAUACGCGAGGAACCUUACCCGGGCUCAAACGGGAGACGGCUGGGGCAGAGACGCCCCUUUCCCUCGGGACGUCUUCCGAGGUGCUGCAUGGUUGUCGUCAGCUCGUGCCGUGAGGUGUCGGCUUAAGUGCCAUAACGAGCGCAACCCCCGCGUGCAGUUGCCAGCAGGAAAGGCUGGGGACUCUGCACGGACUGCCGGCGCAAGCCGCGAGGAAGGCGGGGAUGACGUCAAAUCAGCACGGCCCUUACGUCCGGGGCGACACACGUGUUACAAUGGGGGGUACAGCGGGAAGCCAGGCGGCGACGCCGAGCGGAACCCGAAAGCCCCUCUCAGUUCGGAUCGGAGUCUGCAACCCGACUCCGUGAAGCUGGAUUCGCUAGUAAUCGCGCAUCAGCCAUGGCGCGGUGAAUACGUUCCCGGGCCUUGUACACACCGCCCGUCAAGCCAUGGGAGCCGAGGGCGCUUGAAGUGCGUCGCCGGGAGGCGCGCCCUAGAGCGAAAUCGGUGACUGGGGCUAAGUCGUAACAAGGUAACCGU